Molecule: ribosomal RNA, 464 nt
Filed under: uncultured bacterium
Lineage: Bacteria
Description: partial 16S ribosomal RNA
Rfam family: Bacterial small subunit ribosomal RNA
Source: RNAcentral
ACGAACGCUGGCGGCGUGCUUCACACAUGCCAGUCGAACGGAAAGGCCCUGCUUGCAGGGUACUCGAGUGGCGAACGGGUGAGUAACACGUGGGUGAUCUGCCCUGCACUUCGGGAUAAGCCUGGGAAACUGGGUCUAAUACCGGAUAGGAGCCAUUUUUAGUGUGAUGGUUGGAAAGUUUUUUCGGUGUAGGAUGAGCUCGCGGCCUAUCAGCUUGUUGGUGGGGUAAUGGCCUACCAAGGCGGCGACGGGUAGCCGGCCUGAGAGGGUGGACGGCCACAUUGGGACUGAGAUACGGCCCAGACUCCUACGGGAGGCAGCAGUGGGGAAUAUUGCACAAUGGGCGCAAGCCUGAUGCAGCGACGCCGCGUGGGGGAUGACGGCCUUCGGGUUGUAAACUCCUUUCGCUAGGGACGAAGCUUUUUGUGACGGUACCUAGAGAAGAAGCACCGGCUAACUACGUG